This is a long non-coding RNA of Gasterosteus aculeatus aculeatus (three-spined stickleback), 1784 nucleotides long. Lineage: Eukaryota; Metazoa; Chordata; Actinopteri; Perciformes; Gasterosteidae. The record is from Ensembl.
CUCGAUAUGUGGCUGAGGAGGAAGUACUUUAGCAGGAAGACGACUCCUCUCCCUGACGACUUUGCUUCCUGUCCUCAAGGUGGAGGAGGACGGUGACCGGGAGGCGGCUGCAGGCGACGGGUCGGACGGAGAAGGGCCAAUGAGGGCGGCCCCAGUGCCCCCUUACCCGGCGUCAGUCGUGUGGACGUUGUGGGUGUUCCUCAAGACCUUUUUCUCCUCCCUCCUACCUGAGCUCCCUCAGGUUCCCAACUGAUCCGAUGGACAGUUCACGCAGCUCCUCUGUGACAGUCGCUCAGCGUUGGGAGCGUGGACCACGAGGCUAAAACACCAGCAAACACCAGCAAAUGCCGGCCGGCUGAACAAGGACCAGGAAACCGUCUUUAACAACAACGUCUUCCUCCACGAGACGCCAUCUGACCCAACGUCUGUGUGACCAUUCGGGCUUUCGCCCCAUGACUGCUCUUUGCUGCUCCUGUGUGCUCAGGGAGGAGGCUACGGGGGGGGGGGGACACGAGGACACGCCGACACUCCCGACACACGUCUCUCACCACGCAGCUGGUGUCUCGUUGUUCCUCCUGCAUCGCUCUUCAACCGCGUUUUUCACGUAGCGUCUCUUAGCGUGACAGCGGGUGAGCUCUACCCAGCAUGCAGUUUGGCGGGGUCAUUUUACAAAUCUACAUUUAUUAGUGUUACAAAUUGUAUCACACACAGUUGUGUUGUGGCGUUUUACCUGUUUUAAAGAGUGUUUGUUGGUUUAUUAACCGUAUUUUAAGUCAUAACCAUGACUUCAUCUCAAUACACGUAAGACAAGCGGCUCCGUCCUCGGCGGUGAGCGAGGAACAACACGUUUAUCUGCCUCGUCGUGCCGCUGCAGUCGAGGAAUUAACGCGUUGUGGAAGCUGACCAGCACCACGAUGCUACGCUACUACGUGGCUCCUCUCGCAGGUUCUCAUGUUUCCCUUUUGGAAUUUGAAUGUAAAUCAAAGCUGUGCGCAUUUUUUUUUAAAUCUGUGAAUAUUUCACAAUCCAUAUGCAAGUUGCAUGAACUCGUUGGGUCCUUGUUGCUGUUUAAAUAAUAAUGAAGAUGUGAUUCACCGUAUUUAGUCACACGUUGCACCUUAACAGCGUGAAUGCCAGCAGGAACUGACAGCGACUGGAACUUAGUUCACACACAAAAAAAGAACAAAAUCCACCAAAUCACGUUGCACAGAGUGUUGUUUCCUGCUACUGUGUGUUGGAUGAUGUAUUUUUUUGAGUUGGAGAGGUUAAGAUAUUGUGUUCUUCUCCUGAAGAUUUCUAAUAUGAAUAGUUUAUUUCUCUGUUUGUUGUGACGUGUUAAACACAACAGGUUGAUGCUAUAAUGGUAGCAAUGCUUUAGUAAAACCCUUUUUAUGUCAGAAGAUAUAUUUAUGGAAUGGGGACAAGUUGACCUCAGUUUGAGCUUUUUUGUAUAUUUCUAUUCUCUCACCCAGGGAUGGUGACAUCGUUCCUCCUUCUCAACGUGUGUUUACUCCAUUGUGAUGUCACAGAUCACACUCAUUGGACCGCGGUUUGGCCUGCGGUCGACGGCUAACCCCUAAUUGCUCCCUGGGUUAAAAUGCUUUGUAGGUCGCUUUGGAUAAAGGCGUCAGCUAAAUGACCUGUGAUGUCAUAAUGGGUUCACGCUCUCAUAUGCUUCAAGUGCUUUAUUAUAUUGAUGGAUUGCGUGUUUUUUCAUCAGUGGGUUUUCUUCUCUCGGCACCACCAGCCCUGUACGAUGGGUGUAGCUCGCCUCAGAGGGGGGG